AUGUGGCUCGCCAACCUUGACCGGUGCUGGACGACCGAGAGGUUGUCUAAGCGAGGUUUGGACCACCCUCCACGGUGCGUUCUCCAUGACCAGGAUCCCAAUGACAUUCACCAUCUACUUGUUGCUUGCGCCUUCUCGAGGGAGAUUUGGCACCACACUAUCGUUUGGUGGAAACUCACCAUCUGCCCACCUGACGGCAACCUCACCCUCUACGAUUGGUGGCGAGACGCAACCAUCUCCGCCCCCUCUUUGCUCUGUAGAGCGCUUGCGUCGAUCAUCCCAUUGGUCGCUUGGGCCAUUUGGAAGCACCUCAACGCAUGCAUCUUCAACCAAUGACAACCCUCGAUUAGCUACCUAUUCUCCUCGAUUCAAGACGAUGUGCGCACUUGGGGGAAUGCCGGCGUGAGAGGUCUACAAGAUGUAAUCGACGCGCUGUAA
RNAcentral lists this ribosomal RNA (438 nucleotides) under Triticum aestivum (bread wheat). RNAcentral describes it as "partial small subunit ribosomal RNA". Lineage: Eukaryota; Viridiplantae; Streptophyta; Magnoliopsida; Poales; Poaceae. The record is from RNAcentral.